This 411-nucleotide ribosomal RNA is filed under the name Xenophrys sp. 2 SG-2015. RNAcentral's name for it is "partial 16S ribosomal RNA". It matches the Rfam family "Archaeal large subunit ribosomal RNA", at positions 1927 to 2492 of the family's 2987-position model. Lineage: Eukaryota; Metazoa; Chordata; Amphibia; Anura; Megophryidae. The record is from RNAcentral.
UUUGCACACUAUAUUAGGUAAUGCCUGCCCAGUGACCAUAAGUUCAACGGCCGCGGUAUUUUGACCGCGCGAAGGUAGCGUAAUCACUUGUCUUCUAAAUAAAGACUAGUAUGAACGGCCGCACGAGGACUUAACUGUCUCCCCUGUCUAAUCAGUGAAACUGAUCUCCUCGUGCAGAAGCGAGGAUGAACACAUAAGACGAGAAGACCCUAUGGAGCUUAAAACUUAAUAUUAACUACCCUCUUCUACCCCCUCUAAGGAGCUAACAGGAUUUCCAAGCUCGAUAUAAGUUUUAGGUUGGGGUGACCAUGGAGAAAAAAACAACCUCCCUGAUGAUUUUUAACCAAGAGCCACAGCUCUAAGUAUUAAGACUCUUAACUCCCAUUGACCCAUUUUUUGAUCAACGAACUA